GACGAACGCUGGCGGCGUGCUUAACACAUGCAAGUCGAGCGGUAAGGCCCUUUCGGGGGUACACGAGCGGCGAACGGGUGAGUAACACGUGGGUGACCUGCCCUCAGCUCUGGGAUAAGCCUGGGAAACUGGGUCUAAUACUGGAUAUGACUCCACGGUGCAUGUCGUGGGGUGGAAAGCCUUGUGCGGCUGAGGAUGGGCCCGCGGCCUAUCAGCUUGUUGGUGGGGUGANGGCCUACCAAGGCGACGACGGGUAGCC
This 259-nucleotide ribosomal RNA is filed under the name uncultured bacterium. RNAcentral's name for it is "partial 16S ribosomal RNA". It matches the Rfam family "Bacterial small subunit ribosomal RNA", at positions 28 to 288 of the family's 1533-position model. The record is from RNAcentral.